Long non-coding RNA from Dioscorea cayenensis subsp. rotundata (Guinea yam), 5571 nucleotides. RefSeq lists it as uncharacterized. The record is from RefSeq and is a predicted model, not a curated record. Lineage: Eukaryota; Viridiplantae; Streptophyta; Magnoliopsida; Dioscoreales; Dioscoreaceae. The transcript is spliced from 10 exons.
UAUUAUUAUUAUUAUUAUUAUUAUUAUUAUUAUUAUUGGACCAGAUGGUGGGAAUGGUGAUGCUGGAAAGCUUCAGUGUGGAGAAACACUAUGAUUCUUUGAUGAACACCAACAAGUUUAUGCUACCUGUGUCAGAGUAUCUGGUUUCUAACGAGGAUGAAGAGAAGAAGAAGCUGUUGGGGCUGCUGUCUCAUCACGAUAAGAACGUCAUCACUAUAGUGUGGCAGACCCCUCUUUCGUGGUUAUCUUUUCUAGUGAGGCUAUUUGGAUGUGGAUGAAUGCGCGAACGUAUUCAGUGUUGUAAAACGUCAAAGUGGGAGGCAGCGUGAGCAAAUAUAUUCAACUAUCAUGUUCUUACUACCAGAUGAUGACUUUGUUAUAGAACCAUUGCCUGAGCUUAUGGAUGAGAGUCAUCCUGCUUUGUUCAGGCCCUAUACUUAUGGUGAAUUUGUCCACUUCUGUCACUUUGACGGCAAGGAUGAAGAUGAGUGUUUAGUAGGGUCUAAGAGUGAAGGUGGAUCAAGACUAAGGUUUGUUGAUCAUCAUCUUAGACAACAACGUGCACUAAAGCAGCUCGGAAUGAUAUAACACAAUGCUUGGAGACCGCAGACAGGAUUGCUGGAAGGCUCUAUUUUGGUUCUCCGUGCUGGUCUUUUUAAACACUUCCUUCAUCCGUAUUCGAAGGAUUGAGAUAAGAUUAUGCUUGCGAAGCAAACAUGAUUGACAAGAAGCCAAGUAUCGAGAACUAUAUACAUGUAUACAUGUAUAUAUGUGUUAAACACCAAUACGGGCAAAAUGGAGCAGUGUAUAAUUUCUUUAAAAAAAAUGAUGGUUAUUUCUUGCAAAAAUUUUUCUUGGUGUUUUCUUUUGUAUUUAUUUCUUUAUAACUUUAUUGAAUUUUCAAACAAUAAUUGAAAGUGAUGGUUUUGCAGUUCAAAGUUCAUGUUCAUUGGCUAAACCAUCAUAGACUUUGGUUGUUUGCCUGAUGCAUUAGUUUACUCAAGUAUUUGAAUAGCUGUCAAAAAAUUUUAGUCACAUGAUCCAUGAAAUUAAAUUUUUUAUGGACUGUCAUAUACUACUGAUUAGUAGAUAUAUCUGAAAAAUAAUUGCGUCUUACUAUAGUCGCCAACAUGUUAUGCACUUCAGAGUUGGGAUCUUUCAAUUGCUUAAGCAUCUCUCGUAGGUGACAAAUUGUUAGGGAGAGAUAGAGAAGGAAAUAAAAUUGGUAGGCUGAUGACAUGUUUUGAUCAAUUCAUGGUAAAUUCUAAUCGAAGCUCAUAAAAUGGAUUACUUGUCUGUUUUAGAACAUCUUACACUGAAAGUGUGAAUUGUGAAAUCCAUUAAAAAUGACAUAAUCCUAUUUGACUGAUCAUCAUCUAUUCGUGAAUCAAAGCAAACUAAUGUUGCUGGUGGACAAAAGCUUUGGUUGCUUAUAUUUGUUAACAAUUUACUUUAUUUUAGUAAAUUUUGAUUUCAUUUUAAGGAAGCUUCUUGAUGGACUGAAGAGACAUUAGUUUGUGCUCAACUUGCUCAGAGCCAAAUAUUCAUAUCAGUUUGGAUAUUUAAGCAACACAACUAUUGGUAUGAGACCUUUAGAUGUUGGUUUAUAAAAGUUUAGUAGUUCGUAAAUUUAUUCUGUUAGUGCAACUUGAUUCUAGUGUGGCAAAACAUUAACUGAUUCAGGUGUGGAACAUGUGGGCAUCUCUCUUCAUGGUGUCAAAAUUUGGCCUUUCCCUGUUGAAUGUCAACCUAAAUUGCUGUCUUAUUUUAGCAAUAUUUGAAUGAAUCAUCUCAUGAUAUGUGCAAAUCCAGCUCUUCCCACAUCAAUCAUCCUACUUAAAUUGAUCUCGUGGAUGAUAAUUUGAUGUUAAAUAUAUAUUGAAUUGUAAAAACCUUUUGGGAGAGGGAGCUCUUUACAGUGAAUCUAAAUUUGACUCUAUGAAGUGAAUAUGAGUCUCACCCAAUCUAAAACCUGACUGAUGUUGGAAUUGUUCCCAUGCGGGUCAAAUUUGACCUUAAGUGUUUUCCUCCUUUCAUAAAGACCAUGCUUAUGUGGUUUGGCCCUUUCAUACUGUCAAAUCUUUGACCUUUAGCUUGCUUGAAUCUAGGAAUAUUAAAUUGGCAUCUGGGUACAAAGGAAUUUUUUUCAACCUCGCUUUUCUUACUUGGAAUAUGAUAACUAUGAUAACUUGUUGCUAGGAAGGUCUGAAGAAUUUUCUUUUGCCUUUUGUUUUCAUUUUCUCCUUAAAGUAGAAUUAAAUUGAAAAAAAAAUAUGGCAAUGUGUUUCUCCUUAAAUUUCUCAAACAUUAUUAAAUAUAGCAAUGUGUUUAUCUGAAUGUAGAUUAAAAAAAGAAAUAGAAUGUAUGAAAAUUUGCUGCUUAGUAUUAGUUAUGGCUUAUUAUUGCUACAUCAUAUGCUGACCCUUAAAUAAAAAUUUUUUCAGUACCAACAGGAGAGCUAUUCUCAGUAAAACUACAUUAUAUGGUGGAGAACAUUAAAGGCAAUGCAGGUUAUAUUGAUUAUUGCUGUGCAAAUCAAAUAUCUAGGUUGGAAUUGCUUUCAAUGGCCACAGAGUUUGGGUUAGAUGUACAAGGUUGUACUUUAUGUUGGUUAGAUGUAUAUGGCGAGGAUAAAGGGUUAAAGGAGAUUCAAAAUGAUUUAGAUGCCCUAAAAAUGGCAAUGACUGUAGGGCGAAGUAAGGAAGCAUGUGUGUAUGUUAAACUUGCUGGGAUUAGUUGUGUUGAAGGUUCUAAUGGUGAAGGUAUAAAGGCAGAACAAAUUGGUAGGUUGGAGUUAUUGAAAGGAGUGAAAGAAGAUGAAGUUGGUGCUGAAGAUAAUCUAGAAGACAUUUUAGUGGACGGGCAAGGAGAGGGGAACCUAGUGGAUGAGGAGAAUGAUUUGCAUGACUCAGGUUAUAAUAUUAAUGAUGGGGAUACUAAUGUAGAAGAUGGGGAUAAUGUUACAAGACAAAGGCCUGAGGUAGACAUAGAUGGACAACCUGGAGAAAUAGGAAGUGUGAUGGUAGUGUGGAGUCAGACUAUGCUAGGUUUGAAGAACUCCAAUCAUGUUCUUCAAUAGACAAGGAUGAGUUGGUGACUAGCAAACCUAGAUAUGGGGAAUUCAAUAAUGAGGUGGAUAUCAAGAACCCUCAGGUUAAGAUAGGAACGAAAUUUGGUAGCUUCAAAUAGUUUAGGGAGGUUGUUAGAAGUUAUGGGAUUAAAAAUCGAUAUGUGAUGAAAUUCAAGCCAAAUAACAAGAAGAAAUGCAAGGCAUUUUGUAAGAAGGGGUGCCCUUUCUACCUAUGGGUCUCCCCUAUAGUGAAUGAUAGGAGCACAAUACAAAUUAAGAUUGGGAAUUUGGUACAUGAGUGUAUAAGAGAUCAUGUCAAUAGGCAUGUUAAUGCACAAUGGAUUUCAAACAUUUAUUUGAAACAAUUUAGGGAAGAUCCAUCUUAGAAACUUACUGGGGGCAUUCAAGCUGUGAAGACAAACUAGGAAGUUGAUAUUAGCAGGCUUAAGGCCUACAGGGCAAAGUGUAUUGCACAAAGGAUCAUUGAUGGGGAUGAAGAGACUCAAAUGGCAAGGUUGCAUGACUAUAAGCAGGAGCUAUUGAAGACUCACCCUAGUUCCACCAUCAUUGUGAAUUGCAAUGAUGAAGGUGUAUUUGAAGCCCUUUAUGUCUACCUAUCUCCAAUAAGAGAAGGAAUUUCAGUUGUAGGCAUCUCAUUUCUGUGGAUAGAUGCUUCUUGAAAGGCUUGUAUGGAGGGCAACUUCUUUGUGCUGUUGGGAUAGAUGCAAAUGAUUGCAUCUAUCCCAUUUCUUGGGCUGUGGUGAAGAAGGAAAACAAGGACAACUAGAAGUGGUUCUUGGAGGUGUUAGCUGAAGACCUGAGGAUAACUGACAACAAGAAGUGGGCUUUCAUAUCAGAUAGACAAAAGGGUUUAAUGGCUGCAAUUGUGGAGGUAUUUCCAUUUAGUGAGCAUAGGUAUUGUGUGAGGCACAUUCACACUAACUUUAAGAAAACAUUUAGGGGCAAAGCUCUUAAGGACCAACUCUGGGCUUGUGUAAGGGCAUCCUAUUAUUCUGCAUUUGAGAGAGAGAUGGAAAUUUUGGAGGGGAUGUUUAUUCAAGCCUAUGAGUAUAUGAAAACAAAUAGAACCAAUGCAAUGGAGUAUGUCACACUUCCAAAAUCAAUUUAAGUGUGACAUCCUUUUGAAUAAUUUGUGUGAAUGUUUUAAUAGCAACAUUGUAGAAGCCAGGAUAAAGGGUAUCAUCACCAUGAUUGAGAUGAUUAGGACUCUAUUGAUGAAAAGAAUUCAGAAAAAGGAGAGAUGCAAUGCAAAAAGUAACAACAAUGUAUUGUCUUAGAAUAUUAAAAAAACUUGAAAAUUUCAAACAAGCUAGUUGGCUUUAUACCAUAAUCUGGUCAGGGGGAUAUGUAUCAAGUUGGAGGUCCUGACGGCUAGUUUGUGGUUAAGAAAAAGCAUUGUUGUUGUUCUUGUAGAAAAUGGCAGUUGAGUGGUGUGCCCUACAGCCAUGUAAUAUCUGUCCUGUAUUAUAAUAAUGGAAAAGCUGAAAAUUACUUAGACAAAUGGUACAAAGUUAGCACUUACAUGGAAACAUAUUCCCACAUACUUUACCCAACACAUGAUAGAGGGUCAUGGUCAAGGAGUGGGUACCUACCUGUGAUCCCACCAAAACCAGUAAACAAAAGGAGGGGUAGGAAAACUUUGCUGAGGAGAAAGGAAAUUGUUGAACAAAGUGGCAUCAACAAAAACAGAGUUAGUAAGAAGGGAGUGAGGAUGAAGUGUAGCAUCUAUGGUACAAUGGGACACAACAAGAGGUUCCAUGGAACUUAGGCCAACAAAGCUUGUGCAAGUGCAACAAAUACAGCUUCAGGAUCUAACACAGGCAUUGAACAGCCUUUGUCCCAAGUGGAUAUCACCCAAGCCUCAGAAGAGCCCUUAUCAAUGUUAUUGAAAUCCUGUUGAAGGAGUCCAGGAAGCAGUAUUGGUAAACAGACAACACAACAACUCAAGGAUCACAAUAUCCUCUGUCAUAGGUGAGUUUAUGUCUACUAUAGGUUGUUAUAGACCCACUUUCAACAUAUAAUGUGGACCAGACCUCAGCAGGAACUCAGUCCAAAAAUACAAGAUUAACUAGAAGGGGUGGUAAAAAAUCAAGCAACAUUCAAAAGGAAGAUGUAGUACGUGACAUACACCCACAUAGGAAACACAAGAAUGCUGCAGAAGGGACAAGAGCAAGGGAUCCUGACAAAAGGAAGAGGGUGUGGCUACCACUAGGAGUUGGAGCUUUUUUUAGUUCAAAUUAAUCAUUUUUAAAAUGGAGUGGUUAUGUAACCUUUUUUUUUUGGUCAGUUGUUUACUAGAAUACUUACAAGUUUUUGUCAAUUGGGUACCAUGCACUAAACAUUAUACUCAAUGUGAUUAUUUGGUGCAUUGUUUACCAUGCCAAUUUUGGCUCUGUAAUUUUUUGUUCAGGCCUAGCUUGAAAACAUCUUGUACCCACUGUUACAGUCAAUGAAAAAUUUGCAGUCUUCCUUUUUAUUUU